Molecule: ribosomal RNA, 429 nt
Filed under: Chloroflexota bacterium
Lineage: Bacteria; Bacillati; Chloroflexota
Description: Chloroflexi bacterium partial 16S ribosomal RNA
Rfam family: Bacterial small subunit ribosomal RNA
Source: RNAcentral
UGGGGAAUAUUGCACAAUGGGCGCAAGCCUGAUGCAGCCAUGCCGCGUGUAUGAAGAAGGCCUUCGGGUUGUAAAGUACUUUCAGCGGGGAGGAAGGGAGUAAAGUUAAUACCUUUACUCAUUGACGUUACCGACAGAAGAAGCACCGGCUAACUCCGUGCCAGCAGCCGCGGUAAUACGGAGGGUGCAAGCGUUAAUCGGAAUUACUGGGCGUAAAGCGCACGCAGGCGGUUUGUUAAGUCAGAUGUGAAAUCCCCGGGCUCAACCUGGGAACUGCAUCUGAUACUGGCAAGCUUGAGUCUCGUAGAGGGGGGUAGAAUUCCAGGUGUAGCGGUGAAAUGCGUAGAGAUCUGGAGGAAUACCGGUGGCGAAGGCGGCCCCCUGGACGAAGACUGACGCUCAGGUGCGAAAGCGUGGGGAGCAAACAGG